Molecule: ribosomal RNA, 489 nt
Filed under: Cladosporium herbarum
Lineage: Eukaryota; Fungi; Ascomycota; Dothideomycetes; Cladosporiales; Cladosporiaceae
Description: eukaryotic LSU rRNA
Rfam family: 5.8S ribosomal RNA (bases 124-277)
Source: RNAcentral
GGAGCCGUUGUUGUCCGACUCUGUUGCCUCCGGGGCGACCCUGCCUUCGGGCGGGGGCUCCGGGUGGACACUUCAAACUCUUGCGUAACUUUGCAGUCUGAGUAAACUUAAUUAAUAAAUUAAAACUUUUAACAACGGAUCUCUUGGUUCUGGCAUCGAUGAAGAACGCAGCGAAAUGCGAUAAGUAAUGUGAAUUGCAGAAUUCAGUGAAUCAUCGAAUCUUUGAACGCACAUUGCGCCCCCUGGUAUUCCGGGGGGCAUGCCUGUUCGAGCGUCAUUUCACCACUCAAGCCUCGCUUGGUAUUGGGCAACGCGGUCCGCCGCGUGCCUCAAAUCGUCCGGCUGGGUCUUCUGUCCCCUAAGCGUUGUGGAAACUAUUCGCUAAAGGGUGUUCGGGAGGCUACGCCGUAAAACAACCCCAUUUCUAAGGUUGACCUCGGAUCAGGUAGGGAUACCCGCUGAACUUAAGCAUAUCAAUAAGCGGAGGAA